Molecule: non-coding RNA, 396 nt
Organism: Danio rerio (zebrafish)
Lineage: Eukaryota; Metazoa; Chordata; Actinopteri; Cypriniformes; Danionidae
Source: Ensembl
GCGCGCGUCUUUCUCUCCCGCAGCAUCAGCACCACCAUCAUCAUCAUCAUCAUCUCCCGCGCUCGUCAUGGAAACCCGUCUUCCUCAUUCAGUGAUGUGAUGCGCGCUCGCGGUUUCUCAUCAUCAUUAUCAGUAUCGGCGGCGGCGGAUUGACACUAUAGCGGAUUCUCUCCGCUCUUCUCUAGAGGAUGUACCGUGUUACCGGAGGUAUACGGCGGAGAGUCUUACCGGGGGCCCUUCCGUGAGAAACGAGCGAGGACGGAGAGGACACAGAGGCGGAUUGUUUUAUAUUUGGUGCCUCGGAUCUGUGCGAAUGACACACAGCACCGGGUGGAUUCAGCUGUAUGUUUGGUGCGAGCGGGACUCCAAGAUGAGCACGUAGAGCCGGUCAGAGGU